This 1504-nucleotide long non-coding RNA is filed under the name Fragaria vesca (wild strawberry). RNAcentral's name for it is "long non-coding RNA (FVES_LNC005342)". The record is from RNAcentral. Lineage: Eukaryota; Viridiplantae; Streptophyta; Magnoliopsida; Rosales; Rosaceae.
CUAUUUUCAUUGGAAACAUCUACCAUUAACAUAAGAGAAAUCAAAGAAAAGUAGACUUUUUGGAAAUCUAAAUUGUUCUUGAGAUUGAAUCAACCGAAGGCAAACGUUGCAAAGUCUACAUUUAACAUAAGACACGUCUACUAUUUUCAUAAGAAAUGUCUACCAUUAUAUAAGCGAAAUGAAAGAAAAGUAGACUUUCUGGAAAUCAAAAAUUGUUCUUGAGAUUAAAUCAACCGAAGGUGAAAGUUUCAAAGUCUACAUUUAACAUAAGAUACAACUGUCUUUUUCAUAAGAAAUGUUUACCAUGCAUUAACAUAAGAGAAAUCAAAGAAAAGUAGACUUUCUGGAAAAUUAAAUUGUUCUUGAGAUUGAAGCAAAUUAACCAAGGUAAAAAAUGUAAAGUCUACAUUUAACAUAAGACACAACUAAUUUUUUCAUAAGAAAUGUCUACCAUUAACAUAAGAGAAAUCAAAGAAAAGAAGACUUUCUGGAAAUCUAAAUUGUUCUUGAGAUUGAAGAAAAACCAUGGUAAAAGAUGCAAAAUCUAUAUUUAACAUAUGAAACAACUACUUUUUUCAUAAGAAAUGUCUACUAUGAAAAGAAUGUCUUGACAACAGCCCAAGACUGGGAUACCAACCUAGCAUAAUAAGCCUUCUACAAUUCCCAUAAUAAGCUUCCCACAGUUCCCAACUAGCAGCAUUUAGAUUGAAAGAGAAGACAACAUAACAUAUUCUUUAAAUUAUAUGAGGCUGGUGAGCUAUUAAAAAACCUAAACUUCAACAGUUCAUAAUCCUACCAACAUUUACACCAAUCAGGGAGAAUAAUUGCAAAUAACAAAUCACAAAACAAAAGCUAUAAAAAGAACAACCAAUCCAUAAUAUAUAUAUGAUUAAACGCUUCAGCAUCAUAAGAUCCAUGAAAACUAGUUCAAUGAAAACUAAUAGAAAAGUAGAUCGAAACACAUAAUACAUUGUUCAUACAUAAACUGCAUUGUUCUUAAACCAAAAAAAUAAAACAUUACAUCAUUAAGUUCGAAACCAUUUAUUUACUUUCAGAAGAAGAAGAUGGAUGAGGAUCAAGGCUUGGCACAUGUGCUUGAGUGGCAGCAUAGCGGACCUUAUCUGUCCAGCGAAAUGCCAUCACAACAAUGCUGCGACUUUCUGGAACGAACCUCAGAUGAACCCAAUCGUUGGGAUGGAUUUCAUAGGCCUCCACAAACUCCUGCCAACCAGCGUCAAAUAUGAUGUAGUUCCGAUUGUUGCAUGUUAGCUCGACGUCAUCCCUGAUCCACGGGUACGACUUCAGGUGAAACUGAAAUUGACCCAUUCCUGCUUCUACAAGUCUUCUAUAGAAUGGUCCGUGAGCAUUGAUCUAUAGAAAUCACCAAACAAGGAAUAAGAACACGGCAGAAAACUCAGAAGAAAAACCACAAAGAAAAGGCAAGUGAAAGUGUUUGGAAAAAUUACCAUUGGGCGCCCCGGCAACAGAUGUGAUGGGCAUCAAG